AUGGGGGAGGGCAGAAGAGAGAGCACCAAGGAAUCUGCCCAGGCUCCACUGAGGGGGAUCUUCUACCACCAAGCACGGCUGAGAAGAGGGUGAAGGCACUUCUCACCUCCAAGACCCCAGGACUGCUGCACGUGCCUCACUGGUUGGACUUUGCACAACCCAGAGGUGUCAUCACCCAGCACUGGCUCCUCUAGGAUACCUGGAAACCUGUGUGGGCCUUUAAAUAAGUUCCCAUUUAAACUUUGAUACAUACAUUCAGAAGGUCCUCAGAAAUUCUCACUGCCAGAGAGCAAAGAGAGGGGAUAAAGCCCUGGAAUUCACCACACCAGAGACAAGCUGCAACUGUUCCAGGAUGGAGACGCACCUGCUAGCUGAAAAGCCAC
Molecule: long non-coding RNA, 383 nt
Organism: Choloepus didactylus (southern two-toed sloth)
Lineage: Eukaryota; Metazoa; Chordata; Mammalia; Pilosa; Megalonychidae
Exons: 3
Source: RefSeq, a predicted model, not a curated record